Tribolium madens (black flour beetle) is the source of this 673-nucleotide long non-coding RNA. RefSeq lists it as uncharacterized. The record is from RefSeq and is a predicted model, not a curated record. Lineage: Eukaryota; Metazoa; Arthropoda; Insecta; Coleoptera; Tenebrionidae. The transcript has 3 exons.
UUUCGCUUUUGAAUUGCGGUCUGUUUCUAGAACUAGGGGGGAUUUUAAGCUAUUUUACAGCUAAUGUCAUCACACUUGGACGAUAUCACAAGGGUUUUUCAAUAAUGAGAAAAGAAUGAUUUUUUAGGUAAGAAAUAAAUUUUGACUGAACGUCUCUCUAAUAAUGUGUCUCCCGCUGUGAUUUUGACCGCAGUUUAAACAGAGAGUCCGGAUAGGCUAAAACACUUUGCACCGUAAUUCGGUGGUACCGAGAAAUUUUUGCUCAACAUUUGGGGGGAUUGAUAAUGAGACAAUAAUCAAUAAUCUGAUUCCAAAAUAAAGUAAAAGAAGUUCAAACAAAAAAUUUACACGAUAAAUUCUUCGCAACAGUUGUUUGGGCUAAAGAAGGACUUUUGCAAUUAAGGUUUAUAUUACCUGAGACGAUCAUAUYAAAAGGAAACGAUGCAAAAUAUUCUAAAGUUUUGCGUGAUUCUAUCAACUUGAAAAGGCAUGAAAUCUACACAUCAAAUGUACUGCUCUUUCAUGAAAACCAACUAGAGCAUAUAUUAGCAAAUGUACAGGUCGCCAUCUAAAUCUUUAUAUUUUGUUGGCAACUAUCUUGAACGGCAGGAUUUUUUAAGAAUGCAGGAGCUACCAGUCAAAAAUGUAAAAAUCAAAUCCAUUUACUUAGUAC